UACGUAGGCGGAUUGGAAAGUAGGGGGUGAAAUCCCAGGGCUCAACCCUGGAACUGCCUCCUAAACUAUCAGUCUAGAGUUCGAGAGAGGUGAGUGGAAUUCCAAGUGUAGAGGUGAAAUUCGUAGAUAUUUGGAGGAACACCAGUGGCGGAGGCGGCUCACUGGCUCGAUACUGACGCUGAGGUACGAAAGUGUGGGGAGCAAACAGGAUUAGAUACCCUGGUAGUCC
RNAcentral lists this ribosomal RNA (229 nucleotides) under uncultured bacterium. RNAcentral describes it as "partial 16S ribosomal RNA". It matches the Rfam family "Bacterial small subunit ribosomal RNA", at positions 568 to 796 of the family's 1533-position model. The record is from RNAcentral.